CAUGUACUCUGUAAAUUUUUUAGGAGGAGCAAAAUAGAGGCAAGCCCAAUUGGGAGCAUCUAAAUGAAGAUUUACAUGUACUAAUCACUGUGGAAGAUGCUCAGAACAGAGCAGAAAUCAAAUUGAAGAGAGCAGUUGAAGAAGUGAAGAAAUUAUUGGUACCUGCAGCAGAAGGAGAAGACAGCCUGAAGAAGAUGCAGCUGAUGGAGCUUGCGAUUCUGAAUGGCACCUACAGAGAUGCCAACAUUAAAUCACCAGCCCUUGCCUUUUCUCUUGCAGCAACAGCCCAGGCUGCUCCAAGGAUCAUUACUGGGCCUGCGCCGGUUCUCCCACCAGCUGCCCUGCGUACUCCUACGCCAGCUGGCCCUACCAUAAUGCCUUUGAUCAGACAAAUACAGACCGCUGUCAUGCCAAACGGAACUCCUCACCCAACUGCUGCAAUAGUUCCUCCAGGGCCCGAAGCUGGUUUAAUCUAUACACCCUAUGAGUACCCCUACACAUUGGCACCAGCUACAUCAAUCCUUGAGUAUCCUAUUGAACCUAGUGGUGUAUUAGAGUGGAUUGAAAUGCCAGUCAUGCCUGAUAUUU
Molecule: small RNA, 588 nt
Filed under: Pan troglodytes (chimpanzee)
Lineage: Eukaryota; Metazoa; Chordata; Mammalia; Primates; Hominidae
Description: retained intron
Source: RNAcentral